Molecule: ribosomal RNA, 411 nt
Filed under: uncultured bacterium
Lineage: Bacteria
Description: bacterial SSU rRNA
Rfam family: Bacterial small subunit ribosomal RNA
Source: RNAcentral
AAUCAACGCUGGCGGCGUGCCUCAGACAUGCAAGUCGAACGCGAAAGUCCCCUUCGGGGGACGAAGUAGAGUGGCGCACGGGUGAGUAACACGUAGGUAAUCUACCUUUGGAUGGGGAAGUAACAACCGGAAACGGUUGCUAAUACCGCAUAAUGCAGCGGCACCUAAUGGUUGACAGUUGUUAAAGCGGGGGAUCGAAAGACCUCGCGUCUGAAGAGGAGCCUGCGGCGGAUUAGCAGUUGGUAAGGUAAUGGCUUACCAAGGCUACGAUCCGUAACCGGCCUGAGAGGGCGGUCGGUCACACUGGACACUGACAUACGGGGUCAGACUCCUACGGGAGGCAGCAGUCGGGAAUUUUGGGCAAUGGGCGAAAGCCUGACCCAGCAACGCCGCGUGAAGGAUGAAAUCCCU